AGUUCAGACUGCAGGCUGCAACUCGCCUGCACGAAGUCGGAAUUGCUAGUAAUCGUAGGUCAGCAUACUACGGUGAAUACGUUCCCGGGCCUUGUACACACCGCCCGUCAAACCAUGAGAGUUGGCAACACCCGAAGUCGGUAGUCUAACCGCAAGGGAGGACGCCGCCGAAGGGUGGGGGUUGAUGAUUAGGGUUAAGUCGUAACAAGGUAUC
RNAcentral lists this ribosomal RNA (214 nucleotides) under uncultured bacterium. RNAcentral describes it as "partial 16S ribosomal RNA". It matches the Rfam family "Bacterial small subunit ribosomal RNA", at positions 1290 to 1500 of the family's 1533-position model. The record is from RNAcentral.